RNAcentral lists this ribosomal RNA (254 nucleotides) under uncultured bacterium. Its description in RNAcentral is "partial 16S ribosomal RNA". It matches the Rfam family "Bacterial small subunit ribosomal RNA", at positions 524 to 777 of the family's 1533-position model. The record is from RNAcentral.
UACGUAGGUGGCAAGCGUUGUCCGGAUUUAUUGGGCGUAAAGGGCGCGCAGGUGGUGUGCUAAGUCUGCCGUGAAAUCUCCCGGCUCAACUGGGAGGCUGCGGUGGAGACUGGCACGCUUGAGGUACCUAGAGGCCGGUGGAAUUGCCGGUGUAGUGGUGAAAUGCGUAGAGAUCGGCAGGAACACCCAGGGGGAAACAGCCGGCUGGGGACGAGGCUGACGCUCAGGGGCGAAAGCGUGGGGAGCGAACCGGG